Molecule: long non-coding RNA, 251 nt
Filed under: Sinocyclocheilus anshuiensis
Lineage: Eukaryota; Metazoa; Chordata; Actinopteri; Cypriniformes; Cyprinidae
Description: lncRNA (ENSSANG00000015776.1)
Source: RNAcentral
UUAAUCGUGCAAAUGCUUUUUUCUUUUUUUCCCACAGAUUUCCAUCUGUUGCUGAUCUUGCAUCUUCCACGCUUGGCAGUGAAGAGCCGCAGACACCUGCAGACACGCAUCAGUUCGACUGUUUGCGGCUCCGCUGGAUGCACAGGCCGCCUGUCCAGUGUGCAAGAUGCCCAAAUCUGAACACCCUUAUACUGAAUGAGAGCCUGCUUUAAUCAGGUGCAUAUGUCAAACUGUUUAAUAUGGUUUUGUUA